Molecule: ribosomal RNA, 522 nt
Filed under: uncultured bacterium
Lineage: Bacteria
Description: bacterial SSU rRNA
Rfam family: Bacterial small subunit ribosomal RNA
Source: RNAcentral
UAGAGUUUGAUCCUGGCUCAGAUUGAACGCUGGCGGCAUGCUUUACACAUGCAAGUCGAGCGGCAGCGCGGGGGCAACCCUGGCGGCGAGCGGCGAACGGGUGAGUAAUGCAUCGGAACGUAUCCUGGAGUGGGGGAUAACCCAGCGAAAGUUGGGCUAAUACCGCAUGAGCUCUGAGGAGGAAAGCGGGGGAUCGAAAGACCUCGCGCUGCAGGAGCGGCCGAUGUCCGAUUAGCUAGUUGGUGGGGUAAAGGCUUACCAAGGCGACGAUCGGUAGCUGGUCUGAGAGGAUGAUCAGCCACACUGGGACUGAGACACGGCCCAGACUCCUACGGGAGGCAGCAGUGGGGAAUUUUGGACAAUGGGGGCAACCCUGAUCCAGCCAUGCCGCGUGAGUGAAGAAGGCCUUCGGGUUGUAAAGCUCUUUCGGACGGAACGAAAUGGGCGGGACUAAUACUCCUGUCCGAUGACGGUACCGUAAGAAGAAGCACCGGCUAACUACGUGCCAGCAGCCCCGGUCAA